RNAcentral lists this small RNA (339 nucleotides) under uncultured bacterium. Its description in RNAcentral is "bacterial SSU rRNA". It matches the Rfam family "Bacterial small subunit ribosomal RNA", at positions 19 to 354 of the family's 1533-position model. The record is from RNAcentral.
CUUUCUCAGAACGAAAGAAAGCGGCGUGGAUUAAGCAUGCAAGUCGAACGAUACCUUUUUGCCUAGUGGCAAAAGGGAGAGUAACACAUGAGCAAUCUGCCUUUGAGUGGGGAACAACCUUGGGAAACCGAGGCUAAAACCGCAUAAGACCACGACCGGGCAUCCGGUUGUGAUCAAAUGGGGGGACCGCAAGGCCUCUAGCAUGAUGAUGAGCUCGCGUCCUAUCAGCUUGUUGGCGGGGUAAUGGCCCACUAAGGCUCGUGACGGGUAGCUGGACUGAGAGGUUGGUCAUCCUUUUUGGGACUGAGACACUGCCCAGACUCCUACGGGAGGCAGCAG